GGCAACUUGGCCGAGCGGUCUAAGGCGCCAGACUCAAGAUAAUGGCUCGUUCAAGAGCCUGCGUCUUCCCUGAGUACCAGGGAGCAUUCUGGUCUCGAAAGAGGCGUGAGUUCGAAUCUCACAGUUGUCA
RNAcentral lists this transfer RNA (130 nucleotides) under Colletotrichum incanum. It matches the Rfam family "tRNA". Rfam says of the family: Transfer RNA (tRNA) molecules are approximately 80 nucleotides in length. Lineage: Eukaryota; Fungi; Ascomycota; Sordariomycetes; Glomerellales; Glomerellaceae. The record is from Rfam by way of RNAcentral.